RNAcentral lists this ribosomal RNA (254 nucleotides) under uncultured bacterium. RNAcentral's name for it is "partial 16S ribosomal RNA". It matches the Rfam family "Bacterial small subunit ribosomal RNA", at positions 524 to 776 of the family's 1533-position model. The record is from RNAcentral.
UACAGGGGGGGGCAAGCGUUGUUCGGAAUUACUGGGCGUAAAGGGCUCGUAGGUGGCCAACUAAGUCGGACGUGAAAUCCCUCAGCUUAACUGGGGAACUGCAUCCGAUACUGGAUGGCUUGAGUUUGGGAGAGGGAUGCGGAAUUCCAGGUGUAGCGGUGAAAUGCGUAGAUAUCUGGAGGAACACCGGUGGCGAAGGCGGCAUCCUGGACCAACACUGACACUGAGGAGCGAAAGCCAGGGGAGCAAACGGG